Molecule: unclassified non-coding RNA, 256 nt
Filed under: Asarum caudigerum
Lineage: Eukaryota; Viridiplantae; Streptophyta; Magnoliopsida; Piperales; Asaraceae
Description: partial ITS2
Source: RNAcentral
UUAUUAGAUUGAUGUAAUGACAAACCCAUGAAUGAGAAUGGCAUACAUGUAAUUCCAAAUCCUUGGCGCUAACCGCGCCGAGUUGUUGUUCGGCCUCCCUAAGUCAACCGAUGAAUGCACCGUCAACAAACCCGAUUGCUCAAAAAGGCUUGAGACAAGAACAUCCUGCAGUGCAAAGGGAUGGGGUUGGUUGAACACCGCCCCCGAUAAUUGGGCAUCACAAGUUCGCAUGGUCAAUCUGAUUGAUAGGCAUCGA